UUCACAAUUAUUGUCAGUAAUUCAAAAGUAAGCGACAAUAUCAAAUCUAACAUUCGGUAAUUGUUGGCGGAAUUCAAUAUUAUUCCUAGAGACGAUAUAUAUCUUUAACGCACUUCAAACAAAAGUAAUUAUAGUCGACAGCUGCCAAGUAUAGUACUACUUUGUAUGAAAUAGGGUUUUACUGUGUUUUACUGUUCUGUGACACACUGUUAUAGUCCAGACGCUUGUGUCAUCCUGUGGGAUUCGAGGUUUUAAGAUUUUUUUGUGAAUGGAUUCUGAUAGAGUAUCACAAGUUGUAGAACUAAAUUUUUUUCUUGAGGUUGAUGAACCGGUAUUACCGGUAAAAUUACCGUUUUCGUGUAAAACUAAGAAUCGCUAUAACUCGAGAUAGAAGUGACUUGGUUCGGAUUUCUUUUUUUUGUUAGCAAGAAACCUACAGCAGCAACAUGAACAACGUAUAUCUAUAUGUGUAUGAUAUUUCGAAUGGGCUCGGAAUUUAUCAUACUAGUGUAACAGCUCAUGGCAUCGAACUUGCAUACAACGCUUAUGGAGUUCUAGUACAUAGAAUGGGCGAAUCACGUUUCAACCAACCGAAAAAUAUUGAAUACAUGGGACAGACAUCGUGUUCAAUAGAUCAAUUGUUAAGCUAUGUCAAAGUCUUAUCAAACGAUCAAUUUCAAGCUUCGCGAUAUGAUGUGUACACGAACAAUUGCAUCGAUUUCUGCAAAGUUUUGGUUACGUUCCUAUGCAAUGGCAUAAUUCCGGAUUAUGUACAGGUUGCUCCCAGACUCGGUCAAGGUACGGUAAUUGGCCGAUUUUUAAAACCAUUAUUUGCUUCUUGUAGUGCUGCAAAGAACGAUCGAUAAUAAAUAAAUGACGGAAAAGUUUUUUUACAGU
Bradysia coprophila is the source of this 897-nucleotide long non-coding RNA. RefSeq lists it as uncharacterized. The record is from RefSeq and is a predicted model, not a curated record. Lineage: Eukaryota; Metazoa; Arthropoda; Insecta; Diptera; Sciaridae.